CAGCUGCGUGAAUUAAUGUGAAUUGCAGGACACAUUGAACAUCGAUAUCUUGAACGCAUAUUGCGGCCUCGGGCAAUCCCGAGGCCACGCCUGUCUCAGGGUCGGUUGAACGUCAAUCGCGAGCCGCUCUCCGUUCGCGCAUUGGGCGUCGCAGUUCGAGUCGACAGACAGACGACUGCGUCGCCUCAAGUACAGACGGGUUGCUCGGUCGACGGCAUUCGGUCCAAUCGAUCGGGACGGUGACUCGACUCUCGUAGAGCGCACCAUCUCCCGUUUCGGAUGGCACGACGUCGAUCCGCUAGGCGACCGCCAACUAAUAAACAGACUUCGACCUGAGAUCAGACGAGAUUACCCGCUGAAUUUAA
RNAcentral lists this unclassified non-coding RNA (365 nucleotides) under uncultured fungus. Its description in RNAcentral is "sequence contains ITS1". The stretch from base 1 to 104 matches the Rfam family "5.8S ribosomal RNA", at positions 50 to 154 of the family's 154-position model. The record is from RNAcentral. Lineage: Eukaryota; Fungi.